Molecule: ribosomal RNA, 459 nt
Filed under: uncultured bacterium
Lineage: Bacteria
Description: partial 16S ribosomal RNA
Rfam family: Bacterial small subunit ribosomal RNA
Source: RNAcentral
CCUACGGGAGGCAGCAGUGAGGAAUAUUGGUCAAUGGCCGCAGGGCUGAACCAGCCAAGUCGCGUGAGGGAUGACGGUCCUAUGGAUUGUAAACCUCUUUUGUCAGGGAGCAAAGGGCGCCACGUGUGGCGCUUUGCGAGUACCUGAAGAAAAAGCAUCGGCUAACUCCGUGCCAGCAGCCGCGGUAAUACGGAGGAUGCGAGCGUUAUCCGGAUUUAUUGGGUUUAAAGGGUGCGCAGGCGGAAUGUCAAGUAAGCGGUAAAAUUUCGGGGCUCAACCCCGACGUGCCGUUGAAACUGGCGUUCUUGAGUGAGCGAGAAGUAAGCGGAAUGCGUGGUGUAGCGGUGAAAUGCAUAGAUAUCACGCAGAACUCCGAUUGCGAAGGCAGCAUACCGGCGCUCAACUGACGCUCAUGCACGAAAGCGUGGGUAUCGAACAGGAUUAGAUACCCUUGUAGUC